Molecule: long non-coding RNA, 508 nt
Organism: Juglans microcarpa x Juglans regia
Lineage: Eukaryota; Viridiplantae; Streptophyta; Magnoliopsida; Fagales; Juglandaceae
Exons: 3
Source: RefSeq, a predicted model, not a curated record
CACAUAGUUCUUGGGAGGUCGAGGAGCAUGUAGAAUGUGUUGACAUCGAAAGCUACUCUAAUUGCUUUGGCUGCCCAUGCUUUUGACCCUAGUGAAGCAGAGAGGCUUAAGUUUUUGUCAUCCCCUCAGGGGAAUUUUCACAUAUAUGCCCCACCUUUUUUAGUAACUGAAGUGCUUGAAAUCCAGAUUCUCUAGGAUGAGCAAGAAGAAGCAACAAUUAAUGCAGAUAGUAAUGCUGGUUUGUUCUGAUUUCUGCUAUCUUUGCCAUAUAAUGAUGAGUUUAUCUUGUUUCUAUUAUUAGUGCACUUUUCUAGUGGUCACAUGAUGUACAUCACAUGGCUCUACCAAACUCUAUCCAUGGUGGGUCAUAGCAACUUUUCUUGGAGCUGAUUGAAUUUACCUUUUCAUAUCUGUUGUUCUCAGCUUGCAGAAUCCAUGUACGAGUACAAGGUAUGAUGUUCUUGAUCUUAGAGGGUUCCCUUCAAUGCAGGCCUUGGGAAUGAGGCUG